This is a long non-coding RNA of Hippocampus comes (tiger tail seahorse), 653 nucleotides long. RefSeq lists it as uncharacterized. The record is from RefSeq and is a predicted model, not a curated record. Lineage: Eukaryota; Metazoa; Chordata; Actinopteri; Syngnathiformes; Syngnathidae. The transcript is spliced from 2 exons.
AUAAUGGCCCUCCAAGGGAAAUGGCAAGUACCAUGUGGCUGGCGACAAAAAUGGGUUUGACACCCCAGUUCUAAGGCAUCCGACAUCAGAUCAUUGUUUUGUUGUAAAAUCCAAACGCAGCUUUACCGAUGCCAUGACUGCCCUGCAGGCAGGCGGUGAAUGUACUACAUAUUGAUAUGUGGCCAGUGGUUUUCAGCGCAGGAAUCUGAUUAAUGAAGACAAGCAAAGGAAGUGGAGAUUCAUUGGCACGUAAAUGUGUUCGGAGAACCUCGCUCGAUCACACUCUCCAUUAACCUCCGUGCCAAAACAAGGAUAACGCCUGUGUGCCAAGUCAUGAUGUAUAGUCCACUUUUAUGUACAUUCCCACAUUUGUUUAUCUUUGUACUGUAUUGGAGAGUCACAUUCUGGCCAACCUGUAAACGAAUACUGCAUAUCGUGCUUUUUUUUCUAUUGAAAUCGUUUUGUAAACCGUCUUCCGAAAGUGAUCAAAGAUGAGGCAAGAAAGUGGCUUGGCCGAAUGGGAAGAUGCUGACUCAGGCAGACAAAGGGUGAAAUGAUGAGUCACGCUGCACGGUUGAACUAAAGACAAGUCAAGAAGGAUUUAUGCAGCAUUAUUGGUGUGUUAUUAAAGAUGAUUAGCACAUCAAAAGUGA